GAAGCAUUUUUGGUAUACAUCAUAACCAACAAUAAGAAGGAGGAAGUGGCUCAAAAGGAGUAAGGACUCUCCAUUCAGAGGUGCCGCAUCUAGGCCCUACAUUAUGGGUGAAACCCUUGAGGCUGACACACAUCCACUCAAAUGUUCCAAUUCUGACUGACUCAGGAGGCAGGAAGAGCAAGCCCGCAUGCCAUUUGAUCGUUUACAGGAAAUUGGGACACAGAAAAAUAGAGCGGAACCUAC
This is a long non-coding RNA of Pteronotus mesoamericanus, 243 nucleotides long. RefSeq lists it as uncharacterized. The record is from RefSeq and is a predicted model, not a curated record. Lineage: Eukaryota; Metazoa; Chordata; Mammalia; Chiroptera; Mormoopidae. The transcript has 3 exons.